RNAcentral lists this ribosomal RNA (460 nucleotides) under Funneliformis mosseae. RNAcentral describes it as "LSU rRNA". It matches the Rfam family "Eukaryotic large subunit ribosomal RNA", at positions 358 to 668 of the family's 3401-position model. The record is from RNAcentral. Lineage: Eukaryota; Fungi; Glomeromycota; Glomeromycetes; Glomerales; Glomeraceae.
GGAAAGAUGAAAAGAACUUUGAAAAGAGAGUUAAACAGUACGUGAAAUUGUUGAAAGGGAAACGAUUGAAGUCAGUCAUACCAACGGGAAAUCAACCUUUUGAGCUUGGUCUCGUGGGUUUUGAAGAGUUUCAAAGCCUUCGGAUUCGCGAGAUUGGGAUCUCUCGGUGUACUUUCUCGUACGGUUAGUCAACAUCGGUUUUGAAUGUCAUAAAAUGACUGGAGGAAUGUAGCUUCGAUCUCGUAUUGAAGUGUUAUAGCCUUUGGUAGAUGUGAUGUUUGAGACCGAGGAUUGCAACGGAUACCCUUCAGGGCUAUUCGUCUGAUCUCUGAUACGUUGCCUUGAUGUUGAAAGCUUGCUUAUGAUGUUAGGGUAUUACGGUCAAAAGGUUAGAACGAAUUACAUUCGUUAAGGAUGUUGACGUAAUGACUUUAAACGACCCGUCUUGAAACACGGACCA